AACGAACGCUGGCGGCAUGCCUAACACAUGCAAGUCGAACGAAGGCUUCGGCCUUAGUGGCGCACGGGUGCGUAACGCGUGGGAAUCUGCCCUUAGGUUCGGAAUAACAGCUGGAAACGGCUGCUAAUACCGGAUGAUAUCGCGAGAUCAAAGAUUUAGCGCCUGAGGAUGAGCCCGCGUUGGAUUAGGUAGUUGGUGGGGUAAAGGCCUACCAAGCCGACGAUCCAUAGCUGGGCUGAGAGGAUGAUCAGCCACACUGGGACUGGGACACGGCCCAGACUCCUACGGGAGGCAGCAGUGGGGAAUAUUGGACAAUGGGCGAAAGCCUGAUCCAGCAAUGCCGCGUGAGUGAUGAAGGCCCUAGGGUUGUAAAGCUCUUUUACCCGGGAAGAUAAUGACUGUACCGGGAGAAUAAGCCCCGGCUAACUCCGUGCCAGCAGCCGCCGUAA
Molecule: ribosomal RNA, 449 nt
Filed under: uncultured bacterium
Lineage: Bacteria
Description: partial 16S ribosomal RNA
Rfam family: Bacterial small subunit ribosomal RNA
Source: RNAcentral